AGAGCGAACGCUGGCGGCAGGCCUAAUACAUGCAAGUCGAGCGGCCACUUCGGUGGCAGCGGCGGACGGGUGAGUAACGCGUGGGAAUGUGCCCUUUGGUACGGAACAACUGAGGGAAACUUCAGCUAAUACCGUAUGUGCCCUUCGGGGGGAAAGAUUUAUUGCCAUUGGAGCAGCCCGCGUUGGAUUAGCUAGUUGGUGGGUAAAGCCCACAAGGCGACGAUCCAUAGCUGGUCUGAGAGGAUGAUCAGCCACACUGGGACUGAGACACGGCCCAGACUCCUACGGGAGCAGCAGUAGGAAUCUGCGCAAUGGGCGAAAGCCUGACGCAGCCAUGCCGCGUGAAUGAGUGAAGGUCUUAGGAUUAGUAAAAUUCUUUACGAACCGGGAAG
This 392-nucleotide ribosomal RNA is filed under the name uncultured soil bacterium. Its description in RNAcentral is "bacterial SSU rRNA". It matches the Rfam family "Bacterial small subunit ribosomal RNA", at positions 26 to 449 of the family's 1533-position model. The record is from RNAcentral.